RNAcentral lists this ribosomal RNA (120 nucleotides) under Pteropus alecto (black flying fox). The record is from RNAcentral. Lineage: Eukaryota; Metazoa; Chordata; Mammalia; Chiroptera; Pteropodidae. RNAcentral also lists the same sequence under 1 other name.
GUCUACAGCCAUGCUACCUUGAACAAGCCCGAUCCUGUCUGAUCUCGGAAGCUAAGCAGGGUGGAGCCUGAUUUAGUACUUGGAUUGGAGACCACCUAGGAAGACCAGGUGCUGUAGGCG